This 69-nucleotide transfer RNA is filed under the name Urocitellus parryii (Arctic ground squirrel). Its description in RNAcentral is "Spermophilus parryii (Arctic ground squirrel) tRNA". It matches the Rfam family "tRNA". From Rfam's summary of the family: Transfer RNA (tRNA) molecules are approximately 80 nucleotides in length. Their secondary structure includes four short double-helical elements and three loops (D, anti-codon, and T loops). Further hydrogen bonds mediate the characteristic L-shaped molecular structure. tRNAs have two regions of fundamental functional importance: the anti-codon, which is responsible for specific mRNA codon recognition, and the 3' end, to which the tRNAs corresponding amino acid is attached (by aminoacyl-tRNA synthetases). tRNAs cope with the degeneracy of the genetic code in two manners: having more than one tRNA (with a specific anti-codon) for a particular amino acid; and 'wobble' base-pairing, i.e. permitting non-standard base-pairing at the 3rd anti-codon position. The record is from Rfam by way of RNAcentral. Lineage: Eukaryota; Metazoa; Chordata; Mammalia; Rodentia; Sciuridae. RNAcentral also lists the same sequence under 1 other name.
GGGGUUGUGGCUCAGUGAUAGAGCGCUUGCCUAGCAUGUGUGAGGCCCUGGGUUCGAUCCUCAGCACCA